CGUCUAUAUACGUAUAGCAUAUCAAUAAGCGGAGGAAAAGAAACUAACUAGGAUUCCCUCAGUAACGGCGAGUGAAGCGGGAAGAGCUCAAAUUUGAAAUCUUCAAGGUUUUACCUUGACGAAUUGUAGUUUAAAGAAGUGUUUUCUGUUGGAGUUUUGGUAAAAGUUCUUUGGAAUAGGACAUCAUAGAGGGUGAGAAUCCCGUAUUUGACCAUUAUUUCCAACUUUGUGAUACACUUUCAAAGAGUCGGAUUGUUUGGGAAUGCAGUCCAAAAUGGGUGGUAAAUUUCAUCUAAAGCUAAAUACUGGCGAGAGACCGAUAGCGAACAAGUACCGUGAGGGAAAGAUGAAAAGAACUUUGAAAAGAGAGUUAAACAGUACGUGAAAUUGUCAAAAGGGAAGCGUUUGACACCAGUGUUGUUUUCUCGAAAAUCAAUUAAAAAUGGUGGGAUUUUGUGUUGUAUUGACUUUAUCAGCUUUCUGCACUUUUUUCCUGUCUUUUUUAAUGCACUUUUCGUUUAACAAGUCAACAUCAAUUUCUUUUGUUGUAAAAGGAGUCAUUGGAAGGUGGCUUUCUUUUCGGAGAAAGUGUUUAUAGCCUUUGACUUCUGCAAUCGGAGAGAUUGAGGUCUGCAGCGUAGAUCCUUCGGGGUUAGAUACAUUUGUGCUAAGUUAUAGCCUUUCAUAGACAACUUGUUGACUAUGAUCAGUCAUGUAGCUUACUCGCUUAUGUCAUUUUACCUACGCUUAGGAUGUUGACGAUCAGCUGAGCGCG
This 775-nucleotide ribosomal RNA is filed under the name uncultured Neocallimastigales. Its description in RNAcentral is "partial large subunit ribosomal RNA". It matches the Rfam family "Eukaryotic large subunit ribosomal RNA", at positions 26 to 627 of the family's 3401-position model. Lineage: Eukaryota; Fungi; Neocallimastigomycota; Neocallimastigomycetes; Neocallimastigales. The record is from RNAcentral.